AAUCAACGCUGGCGGCGUGCCUCAGACAUGCAAGUCGAACGCGAAAGUCCCCCUCGGGGGACGAAGUAGAGUGGCGCACGGGCGAGUAACUACGUAGGUAAUCUACCUUCGGGUGGGGAAUAACAAUCGGAAACGGUUGCUAAUACCGCAUAACUGCAGCGGCACCUAAUGGUGACAGUUGUUAAAGCGGGGGAUCGCAAGAUCUCGCGCCUGAAGAGGAGCCUGCGGCGGAUAGCUAGUUGGUAGGGUAAUGGCCUACCAAGGCGACGAUCCGUAGCGGCCUGAGAGGGCGGUCGGCCACACUGACACUGACAUAC
This 317-nucleotide ribosomal RNA is filed under the name uncultured bacterium. RNAcentral's name for it is "bacterial SSU rRNA". It matches the Rfam family "Bacterial small subunit ribosomal RNA", at positions 32 to 327 of the family's 1533-position model. The record is from RNAcentral.